This 393-nucleotide ribosomal RNA is filed under the name uncultured bacterium. RNAcentral's name for it is "partial 16S ribosomal RNA". It matches the Rfam family "Bacterial small subunit ribosomal RNA", at positions 523 to 918 of the family's 1533-position model. The record is from RNAcentral.
AUACGGAGGAUGCGAGCGUUAUCCGGAUUUAUUGGGUUUAAAGGGAGCGUAGGUGGGAUAUUAAGUCAGCUGUGAAAGUUUGGGGCUCAACCUUAAAAUUGCAGUUGAUACUGGUUUCCUUGAGUACGGUACAGGUGGGCGGAAUUCGUGGUGCAGCGGUGAAAUGCUUAGAUAUCACGAAGAACUCCGAUCGCGAAGGCAGCUCACCGGGCCGGAACUGACACUGAUGCUCGAAAGUGCGGGUAUCAAACAGGAUUAGAUACCCUGGUAGUCCGCACAGUAAACGAUGAAUACUCGCUGUUUGCGAUACACGGUAAGCGGCCAAGCGAAAGCGUUAAGUAUUCCACCUGGGGAGUACGCCGGCAACGGUGAGACUCAAAUGAAUUGACGGGG